Octopus sinensis (East Asian common octopus) is the source of this 615-nucleotide long non-coding RNA. RefSeq lists it as uncharacterized. Lineage: Eukaryota; Metazoa; Mollusca; Cephalopoda; Octopoda; Octopodidae. The record is from RefSeq and is a predicted model, not a curated record. The transcript has 3 exons.
GGGCACUGACCCGUAAGAACACGAAUAUCACACCUUGUUGGCAGAAAAGAAAUUUCUUACAUUGGAUGUGUUGUCAAUGUUUUUAUUAACUUUCAUCAACCAAAGGAAGACGAUAUAUCUAUAAGGAGCAUUCAUCAAUGCAUCAACCUCUUAAUAUAAGCAAAAUCUAUGACAAAUAUUGGUGAAAUAUUUCUUCUGCACAAUGGAAUUUACCAGCAACAUCUUUUCAUCUCUGCUGUCUGGAAUGAUGACUUUACAGGUUAAUUAACCUUGGAUAACAUUACAAAGGAGUUGAGAGUUUACAUCUGCUGUUUUAGAUAAUAAGCAAGAUCUGCAAUGAAAGAAACAUAGCAUUAAAUUAUUCUCUGAAAAUAGUGACUUACCUGAACACAAACAUAUUCAUAGAAAAGAAAAAAACAAUAUCUUUGUGAUAUAUAUGACAAAUUAUUUCUCCAUUAUGAAUCAUUUACCUAAAUCAAAAAACCCUGAUACAAGAGAGAAGCCAUAUCACUGUGAUAUCUGUGGUAAAUCAUUCUCUCAAAGGAGCGACUUGACUAGACACAGACGUACUCAUACAGGAGAGAAGCCAUAUCAGUGUGAUAUCUGUGGCAAAUC